Molecule: ribosomal RNA, 849 nt
Filed under: uncultured archaeon
Lineage: Archaea
Description: bacterial SSU rRNA
Rfam family: Archaeal small subunit ribosomal RNA
Source: RNAcentral
AGCAAUAUGUGGCAUACGGCUCAGUAACACGUAGUCAACAUGCCCAGGGGACGUGGAUAACCUCGGGAAACUGAGGAUAAACCGCGAUAAGUCACUACUUCUGGAAUGGGUAAUGACUUAAAUCUAUAUGGCCCCUGGAUUGGACUGUGGCCGAUCGGGCUGUUGGUGAGGUAAUGGCCCACCAAACCUGUAACCGGUACGGGCUCUGAGAGGAGGAGCCCGGAGAUGGGCACUGAGACAAGGGCCCAGGCCCUAUGGGGCGCAGCAGGCGCGAAACCUCUGCAAUAGGCGAAAGCCUGACAGGGUUACUCUGAGUGAUUUCCGUUAAGGAGAUCUUUUGGCACCUCUAAAAAUGGUGCAGAAUAAGGGGUGGGCAAGUCUGGUGUCAGCCGCCGCGGUAAUACCAGCACCCCGAGUGGUCGGGACGUCUAUUGGGCCUAAAGCAUCCGUAGCCGGUUCUGCAAGUCUUCCGUUAAAUCCACCUGCUUAACAGAUGGGCUGCGGAAGAUACUAUAGAGCUAGGAGGCGGGAGAGGCAAGCGGUACUCGAUGGGUAGGGGUAAAAUCCGUUGAUCCAUUGAAGACCACCAGUGGCGAAGGCGGCUUGCCAGAACGCGCUCGACGGUGAGGGAUGAAAGCUGGGGGAGCAAACCGGAUUAGAUACCCGGGUAGUCCCAGCUGUAAACGAUGCAGACUCGGUGAUGAAUUGGCUUCAUGCCAAUUCAGUGCCGCAGGGAAGCCGUUAAGUUUGCCGCCUGGGGAGUACGGUCGCAAGACUGAAACUUAAAGGAAUUGGCGGGGGAGCACCACAAGGGGUGAAGCCUGCGGUUCAAUUGGAUUCAACGCCGGA